GGGGAAUAUUGCACAAUGGGCGCAAGCCUGAUGCAGCAACGCCGCGUGAAUGAUGAAGGCCUUCGGGUCGUAAAGUUCUGUCCAAAGGGAAGAAUACAGUGACGGUACCUUUGGAGGAAGCCCCGGCUAACUACGUGCCAGCAGCCGCGGUAAUACGUAGGGGGCAAGCGUUAUCCGGAAUCACUGGGCGUAAAGGGAGCGUAGGCGGUUAGACAAGCCAGAGGUGAAAGGCAAUAGCUUAACUAUUGUAAGCCUUUGGAACUGUUUGACUUGAGUGCAGGAGAGGAAAGUGGAAUUCCUAGUGUAGCGGUGAAAUGCGUAGAUAUUAGGAGGAACACCAGUGGCGAAGGCGACUUUCUGGACUGUAACUGACGCUGAGGCUCGAAAGCGUGGGGAGCGAAC
This 402-nucleotide ribosomal RNA is filed under the name uncultured bacterium. RNAcentral describes it as "bacterial SSU rRNA". It matches the Rfam family "Bacterial small subunit ribosomal RNA", at positions 356 to 773 of the family's 1533-position model. The record is from RNAcentral.